Molecule: ribosomal RNA, 253 nt
Filed under: uncultured bacterium
Lineage: Bacteria
Description: partial 16S ribosomal RNA
Rfam family: Bacterial small subunit ribosomal RNA
Source: RNAcentral
UACGAAGGGGGCUAGCGUUGUUCGGAAUCACUGGGCGUAAAGGGCGCGUAGGCGGCGCGACAAGUCAGGCGUGAAAGCCCCGGGCUCAACCCGGGAAUUGCGCUUGAUACUGUCGUGCUUGAGGCCGGGAGAGGAUGGCGGAAUUCCCAGUGUAGAGGUGAAAUUCGUAGAUAUUCGCAAGAACACCAGUGGCGAAGGCGGCUCACUGGCCCGAUACUGACGCUGAGGCACGAAAGCGUGGGGAGCAAACAGG